Molecule: ribosomal RNA, 459 nt
Filed under: uncultured Streptococcus sp.
Lineage: Bacteria; Bacillati; Bacillota; Bacilli; Lactobacillales; Streptococcaceae
Description: partial 16S ribosomal RNA
Rfam family: Bacterial small subunit ribosomal RNA
Source: RNAcentral
ACGGAAGGCAGCAGUAGGGAAUCUUCGGCAAUGGGGGCAACCCUGACCGAGCAACGCCGCGUGAGUGAAGAAGGUUUUCGGAUCGUAAAGUUCUGUUGUAAGAGAAGAAUGUGUGUGAGAGUGGAAAGUUCACACAGUGACGGUAACUUACCAGAAAGGGACGGCUAACUACGUGCCAGCAGCCGCGGUAAUACGUAGGUCCAGAGCGUUGUCCGGAUUUAUUGGGCGUAAAGCGAUCGCAGGCGGUUUAAUAAGUCUGAAGUUAAAGGCGGUGGCUUAACCAUUGUUCGCUUUGGAAACUGUUAGACUUGAGUGCAGAAGGGGAGAGUGGAAUUCCAUGUGUAGCGGUGAAAUGCGUAGAUAUAUGGAAGAACACCGAUGGCGAAAGCAGCUCUCUGGUCUAUAACUGACGCUGAGGCUCGAAAGCGUGGGGAGCAAACAGGAUUAGAUACCCUGGUA